Molecule: small nuclear RNA, 119 nt
Filed under: Nilaparvata lugens (brown planthopper)
Lineage: Eukaryota; Metazoa; Arthropoda; Insecta; Hemiptera; Delphacidae
Description: U5 spliceosomal RNA
Rfam family: U5 spliceosomal RNA
About the family: U5 RNA is a component of both types of known spliceosome.
Source: RNAcentral
UGGCUCUGGUUCCACUUCAAAAUCGAAUAAAUCUUUCGCGUUUUACUAACGAUUUCCGUGGAGUGGAACACAUGAUGAAUCUAAUCUAAAUUUUUUUCUAGUGCUCGACUGAAAGGUUG